RNAcentral lists this long non-coding RNA (462 nucleotides) under Homo sapiens (human). Its description in RNAcentral is "non-protein coding LINC00665:20". The record is from RNAcentral. Lineage: Eukaryota; Metazoa; Chordata; Mammalia; Primates; Hominidae.
ACCAUGUUGGCCAGGCCGGUCUUGAACUUGUGACGUCAGGUGAUGCACCCGCCUUGGCCUCCCAAAGUGCUGGGAUUACAGGUCCAGAUUUUGAACAAAUCUCGCUAGAGAUUGAACAGAGCUGCGCCUGGAUCCCGCCACAGUGAGGAGACCUGAAGACCAGAGAAAACACAGCAAGCCCCUGGAUCCUCCUGGAAUCCCCGAUCCCUCUUGCUCCCUGGCAGAGUUUUCUAGUCCCUCUUACUUGAAGCAUGUCUUUCAGAGCCCGGCACCACCCAUCUUGAGUAUCUGGUGGAUUUUCACAUCUCAAGCCAGCUAAGAGUAUGGGAAAUAGGACUCGUUAAAGCACAGAUAUCACACAAGUGAUUCAGAUUCACGAGGGUAAUCCAGAUGAAGGUAUAUCAUUGUACCUGGCCCGCAUCACUCAGUAACUGUCACCUUUGAUUUAUUGAUUUACUUGAG